Molecule: ribosomal RNA, 21 nt
Filed under: Globisporangium heterothallicum
Lineage: Eukaryota; Oomycota; Peronosporomycetes; Pythiales; Pythiaceae
Description: partial 28S ribosomal RNA
Source: RNAcentral
UGGACCUGAUAUCAGACAAGA